CGUACGGUCGGCCUUGUCGCCUUGAUUUAUCAGGGAGGAAAGUCCGGACAACAUAGAGCACCACGCUUCCUAACGGGAAGGCAGGAGGCCCCAGGUGGGCCGCUUGACAGACAGUGCCGCAGAGAGGGAAACCGCCACAGUGCAUCGAUCGAGUCCUGUGGUAAGGGUGAAAAGGUGGGGUAAGAGCCCACCAGCAGUUGAGGUGACUCAGCUGGCUUGGUAAACCUCGUGGGUUGAAAUGCCACGUAAACCGAUGCUUGAAGGCUGCUCGCCUGAGUCGGAGGGUAGGCAGAUAGAGCGAGUAGGUGACUGCUCGCCCAGAUCAAUGACAAGGACAUGCCCUGGCAUGUACAGAAUCCGGCUUAUAUGACCGUACGUUUU
RNAcentral lists this RNase P RNA (381 nucleotides) under Cryomorphaceae bacterium. Its description in RNAcentral is "RNase P RNA component class A". It matches the Rfam family "Bacterial RNase P class A". Rfam says of the family: Ribonuclease P (RNase P) is a ubiquitous endoribonuclease, found in archaea, bacteria and eukarya as well as chloroplasts and mitochondria. Its best characterised activity is the generation of mature 5'-ends of tRNAs by cleaving the 5'-leader elements of precursor-tRNAs. Lineage: Bacteria; Pseudomonadati; Bacteroidota; Flavobacteriia; Flavobacteriales; Cryomorphaceae. The record is from RNAcentral.